AUCCCUACUUUAUCCAAUAUCUUUCCGUCUUUACCCCUUUCUCUUCAGUCUUUCCUCAUAGCAGAAACCCAAAAAGCAAACCCACGCCGUCCUCAGCUCCAUUGCCGCCAAAGAAGAUCGACGGCUACGCUUCGCGGUCGUCGUAUCUUAUCUCCACCAAAAAGCCAACCCCACGCCGUCCUCAUCUCCAUUGACGCCAAAGAAGAUCCACCAAAAAGCCAAACCCAAGCCGUCCUCAUCUCCACGAAAAAGCCAAACCCACGCCGUCCUCAUCUCCAUUGACGCCAAAGAAGAUCCACGGCUGGGCUUCACGGUCGUCGUAUCUCAUCUCCACCGUCAACAUUCGAAGAUCGAGCCCGAGAUCGAGCUUUUGUCGCCGCCGACCCAUCACUCGAAGAUCCAGAUGGUAGACACAAUGCAUGACGAUCUUGACGAUGGCCUUCGGUUCCGAAAUUGCAAUUGUUUCUGUGGCUUGAAAGCAAGUGUGAAGAUUUCAGAUAAACGAAAUGAGAACCGGUACAGGCUUUUCCAAUGUUGCCCAAAGGACACAUGUCGGUUUUUUCAAUGGUGUAUUCCCUUGAAGACGCCAGUGUCAUAUGCGGAUGAUUUCCAGCAACUACAAGAAGAGCUAUGUGUAUUGCGAGAGGAAUUGAGGGUCAUACAUGACAAGGUCCACCCCUCAGACCAACCGAAGAAAAUGGUGAAAAUUAGGUUCAUUGCUUGGUGUUUGUUUUUCACCGCGCUUGCAAUACUGCUAACUAUGACGAUGUUGUAAACCAAAUUGUUAUGAUGAUGUGUUAAUUCCUACUAUGUAAUCAUAUUAUCUUAUUAUGUACUACUAACUCCUUUUGAACUUGAUGCACUGUGUAAUAUUUUUAGACAAUCUUGAGUCAUCCAUUUUGGUAGUGUAUAGAAUAUGUAUCGGGCUGACUCUUGAUUCUUACAAUAGUAUGUUAUUGGCUUAAUGUAAUGUAUGCCUAGUACUGAUAAUUUAUUGGAACAUAGGAGAAUUGUAAGUUACAAUUCUCUUCUA
Long non-coding RNA from Quercus robur (English oak), 1033 nucleotides. RefSeq lists it as uncharacterized. Lineage: Eukaryota; Viridiplantae; Streptophyta; Magnoliopsida; Fagales; Fagaceae. The transcript has 2 exons. The record is from RefSeq and is a predicted model, not a curated record.